This 255-nucleotide ribosomal RNA is filed under the name uncultured bacterium. RNAcentral describes it as "partial 16S ribosomal RNA". It matches the Rfam family "Bacterial small subunit ribosomal RNA", at positions 99 to 354 of the family's 1533-position model. The record is from RNAcentral.
CGGACGGGUGAGUAACGCGUGGAAAACCUGCCGUAUACUGGGGGAUAACACUUAGAAAUAGGUGCUAAUACCGCAUAAGCGCACAGCUUCGCAUGAAGCGGUGUGAAAAACUCUGGUGGUAUACGAUGGUUCCGCGUCUGAUUAGCUAGUUGGUGGGGUAAUGGCCUACCAGGGCAACGAUCAGUAGCCGGCCUGAGAGGGUGAACGGCCACAUUGGGACUGAGACACGGCCCAAACUCCUACGGAAGGCAGCAG